CAGGGCUUGACAUGGGGAGGCUGUAUCCAGAGAUGGGUAUUUCCCGCAAGGGACCUCCUGCACAGGUGCUGCAUGGCUGUCGUCAGCUCGUGUCGUGAGAUGUUGGGUUAAGUCCCGCAACGAGCGCAACCCUCGCCUUUAGUUGCCAGCACGUUUGGGUGGGCACUCUAGAGGAACUGCCGGUGACAAGCCGGAGGAAGGUGGGGAUGACGUCAAGUCCUCAUGGCCCUUAUGUCCUGGCUACACACGUGCUACAAUGGCGAUGACAGUGGGAGGCUAGAUGGUGACAUCGUGCCGAUCUCUAAAAGCCGUCUCAGUUCGGAUUGUACUCUGCAACUCGAGUGCAUGAAGGUGGAAUCGCUAGUAAUCGCGGAUCAGCAUGCCGCGGUGAAUACGUUCCC
This 401-nucleotide ribosomal RNA is filed under the name uncultured bacterium. Its description in RNAcentral is "bacterial SSU rRNA". It matches the Rfam family "Bacterial small subunit ribosomal RNA", at positions 975 to 1375 of the family's 1533-position model. The record is from RNAcentral.